GAAAGCAUCUAAGCACGAAACUUGCCCCGAGAUGAGUUCUCCCUGACCCUUUAAGGGUCCUGAAGGAACGUUGAAGACGACGACGUUGAUAGGCCGGGGGUGUAAGCGCAGCGAUGCGUUGAGCUAACCGGUACUAAUGAACCGUGAGGCUUAACCUUACAACGCCGAAGGUGUUU
RNAcentral lists this ribosomal RNA (176 nucleotides) under Escherichia coli O157:H7 str. 2011EL-1107. RNAcentral describes it as "partial 23S ribosomal RNA". The stretch from base 1 to 158 matches the Rfam family "Bacterial large subunit ribosomal RNA", at positions 2773 to 2925 of the family's 2925-position model. Lineage: Bacteria; Pseudomonadati; Pseudomonadota; Gammaproteobacteria; Enterobacterales; Enterobacteriaceae. RNAcentral also lists the same sequence under 1 other name. The record is from RNAcentral.